This 202-nucleotide ribosomal RNA is filed under the name Pseudomonas aeruginosa. RNAcentral describes it as "partial 16S ribosomal RNA". The stretch from base 41 to 202 matches the Rfam family "Bacterial small subunit ribosomal RNA", at positions 1 to 162 of the family's 1533-position model. RNAcentral also lists the same sequence under 1 other name. The record is from RNAcentral. Lineage: Bacteria; Pseudomonadati; Pseudomonadota; Gammaproteobacteria; Pseudomonadales; Pseudomonadaceae.
UGAGCCAAGUUUAGGGUUUUCUCAAAACCCAAGCAGUAUUGAACUGAAGAGUUUGAUCAUGGCUCAGAUUGAACGCUGGCGGCAGGCCUAACACAUGCAAGUCGAGCGGAUGAAGGGAGCUUGCUCCUGGAUUCAGCGGCGGACGGGUGAGUAAUGCCUAGGAAUCUGCCUGGUAGUGGGGGAUAACGUCCGGAAACGGGCG